Molecule: ribosomal RNA, 497 nt
Filed under: uncultured bacterium
Lineage: Bacteria
Description: partial 16S ribosomal RNA
Rfam family: Bacterial small subunit ribosomal RNA
Source: RNAcentral
GACGAACGCUGGCGGCGUGCCUAAUACAUGCAAGUUGAGCGCUGAAGGUUGGUACUUGUACCAACUGGAUGAGCAGCGAACGGGUGAGUAACGCGUGGGGAAUCUGCCUUUGAGCGGGGGACAACAUUUGGAAACGAAUGCCAAUACCGCAUAAAAACUUUAAACACAAGUUUUAAGUUUGAAAGAUGCAAUUGCAUCACUCAAAGAUGAUCCCGCGUUGUAUUAGCUAGUUGGUGAGGUAAAGGCUCACCAAGGCGAUGAUACAUAGCCGACCUGAGAGGGUGAUCGGCCACAUUGGGACUGAGACACGGCCCAAACUCCUACGGGAGGCAGCAGUAGGGAAUCUUCGGCAAUGGACGAAAGUCUGACCGAGCAACGCCGCGGGAGUGAAGAAGGGUUUCGGAUCGUAAAACUCUGUUGGUAGAGAAGAACGUUGGUGAGAGUGGAAAGCUCAUCAAGUGACGGUAACUACCCAGAAAGGGACGGCUAACUACGUG